Molecule: long non-coding RNA, 741 nt
Organism: Cucurbita maxima (winter squash)
Lineage: Eukaryota; Viridiplantae; Streptophyta; Magnoliopsida; Cucurbitales; Cucurbitaceae
Exons: 2
Source: RefSeq, a predicted model, not a curated record
ACGUUCAGCAAGCCAACCUGAGGAGGGAAGAUCAAAACCAAGCUACAUGAAUAGGAUUUCUUGCAGAGUUUAACGAGAGAGUAGAUCAUAUCCAAGAAUUCUGUGAGCCUGAGAUUGUGGCCUCUCAUUAUCCAUUUCAAUAUCAACUACUACACCACGUUCGUGAGCUUCCACUGAUGCUAAAAGAGAACACCAAACCAAAGAGAUUACAAAAAACAAAAAAACUCUCCUGUUGGGGUUGAUCAGUGAAGGAGUUAUGAGAAUUCUAAUGUAAGGUGUUCUUUCAAUUGGGAGCUGAACCAGAUUACACCAGAGCCUAUGUUCUGUUUUUUUUUUUUUUUAAUUUGUGAGCCCCAAGCUUCUUUUGGAAGAAAGCAUCUGUGACAGUGCCUGGUGAAAGGAAAAGGGGAAGAAGGUUGCAUUUGUUGAACUCGAUAUUUUCUGGGUUUCCUGACGGCUUUGGGCCCUUUUUUUGCCCAUUUCAGCGACAGAAAUGGGCUUAGUGGCUUCAUGUCGGCCCUGAAAACACUCCUUCAAAUAAGCUUUUUCAGGGGAGUGGGAAUUAGAGGGAAUGUCAUAUUUUCACCCUCAUUCUCAAAUACAAUCCAACCAACUAUUCGACUUUUUAAAACCUUAGAUCGAUCAAGACUCGAGUUUGGUAACGAACUUGAAUCGGUCUAGAGUUGUAGAAAAUCGGAUUGUUACAUAUUGUUGUAUCCUAAUGUCAUAGCCAAAAUGUUU